Non-coding RNA from Hordeum vulgare subsp. vulgare (domesticated barley), 125 nucleotides. The record is from Rfam. Lineage: Eukaryota; Viridiplantae; Streptophyta; Magnoliopsida; Poales; Poaceae.
AUACUAUUACCUCCGUCCCAAAUUACUUGACUUACAUUGGUCUAGAUAUGGAUGUAUCUAACACUAAAACAUGUCUAGAUACAUCCUUAUCUAGGACAAGUAAUUCGGGACGGAGGGAGUAUAAG